RNAcentral lists this ribosomal RNA (828 nucleotides) under Villophora sp. RNAcentral describes it as "SSU rRNA". It matches the Rfam family "Bacterial small subunit ribosomal RNA", at positions 350 to 1230 of the family's 1533-position model. Lineage: Eukaryota; Fungi; Ascomycota; Lecanoromycetes; Teloschistales; Teloschistaceae. The record is from RNAcentral.
AGCAGUGAGGAUAUUGGUCAAUAGCCUAACGGCUGAACCAGCAACUUGGAGGAAUGUACAGGGGAAACCCUAGUUGCACUAGUAGCCCUAGUGUAAAAUCGACUUUGUUGAAUAAAGUUCUGGAUGGAAUUUUGAUAAUGACAAUGUCUGUCCAUUAGUCUUGACCAAAUUACGUGCCAGCAGUCGCGGUAAUACGUAGAAGACAAGUGUUAUUCAUCUUUAAUAGGUUUAAAAGGUACUUAGACGGAAAAUAAAGCCUCUAAAAAGGGUACUAGUUUUCUAGAGUUUUAUGUGGAGGAGUAUUAAAGUACUGCUGGUGUAGAGAUAAAAUUCAGUCAUACCUUGAUGGCACAGGUAAAGGCGAAGGCAUCUUCUUAUGUAAUAACUGACGUUGAAGGACGAAGGCUUUGUGUCUCGAACAGGAUUAGAUACCCUAGUAGUCUAAGCAGAAAAUGAUGAAUGUCAUAGAUUAGAUGUAAUUUGAUCUAUAAAUGAAAGUGUAAGCAUUCUACCUCAAGAGUAAUUUGGCAACAUUGGAACUGAAAUCAUUAGACCGUUUCUGAAACCAGUAGUGAAGUAUGUUGUUUAAUUUGAUAAUCCGCAAAAAACCUUACCACUCUAAUAUAAUUUGAAUAGAUAUAUAUUAUCAUACAAGCGUUGCACGGCUGUCUUCAGUUAAUGUCGUGAGACUUUGGUUAGUUCCAUAAAAUUAACGUAAACCCUUACUCUAUUUUAAUAUAAAGUAGUUCACCGCUAUAUUGGUUAAGAUAAUAGGGAUCAAGACAAGUCAACAUGACCUAAAUAUUGUGGGCUAUAGACGUGCCACAU